CAGUAGCCGCGGUAAAACGUAGGUGGCAAGCGUUGUCCGGAAUUAUUGGGCGUAAAGCGCGCGCAGGCGGCCUAUCCAGUCCGCCUUAAAAGUUCGGGGCUCAACCCCGUGAUGGGAUGGAAACUGCCAAUCUAGAGUAUCGGAGAGGAAAGUGGAAUUCCUAGUGUAGCGGUGAAAUGCGUAGAUAUUAGGAAGAACACCAGUGGCGAAGGCGACUUUCUGGACGAAAACUGACGCUGAGGCGCGAAAGCCAGGGGAGCGAACGGGAUUAGAUACCCCCGUAGUCCCUGUCUCUUAUACA
RNAcentral lists this ribosomal RNA (301 nucleotides) under uncultured bacterium. RNAcentral's name for it is "partial 16S ribosomal RNA". It matches the Rfam family "Bacterial small subunit ribosomal RNA", at positions 509 to 809 of the family's 1533-position model. The record is from RNAcentral.